GAUGAACGCUGGCGGCGUGCUUAACACAUGCAAGUCGAACGGUGAAGCCAAGCUUGCUUGGUGGAUCAGUGGCGAAUGGGUGAGUAACACGUGAGCAACCUGCCCUGGACUCUGGGAUAAGCGCUGGAAACGGCGUCUAAUACUGGAUAUGAGCCUCUUCCGCAUGGUGGGGGUUGGAAAGAUUUUUUGGUCUGGGAUGGGCUCGCGGCCUAUCAGCUUGUUGGUGAGGUAAUGGCUCACCAAGGCGUCGACGGGUAGCCGGCCUGAGAGGGUGACCGGCCACACUGGGACUGAGACACGGCCCAGACUCCUACGGGAGGCAGCAGUGGGGAAUAUUGCACAAUGGGCGAAAGCCUGAUGCAGCAACGCCGCGUGAGGGAUGACGGCCUUCGGGUUGUAAACCUCUUUUAGCAGGGAAGAAGCGAAAGUGACGGUACCUGCAGAAAAAGCGCCGGCUAACUACGUG
RNAcentral lists this ribosomal RNA (466 nucleotides) under uncultured bacterium. Its description in RNAcentral is "partial 16S ribosomal RNA". It matches the Rfam family "Bacterial small subunit ribosomal RNA", at positions 28 to 507 of the family's 1533-position model. The record is from RNAcentral.